CGUAAUCAGUUGGCUUUUAAAUGGAGACAGGAAUGAAUGGGAUAACCGGGCUUAGCUGUCUCUUUUCUAAUAAUUUGAAUUUACUUUGUAAGUGAGAAAGCUUACUGUUUGAAGAGGGAGGAGAAGACCCUUAGAAUUUUACUUAUAUGUUUAAUCAUACUGGUUUUGUUGGGGUGACAAAGAAAUAUAUUAAAACUUUCUUUAAAAUACUUGCCGAUUAUAUUAAGUGAGAAUAAAUUACCUGAGGGAUAACAGCAUAAUUCUACAUUUGAGUUUGUGACCUCGAUGUUGGACUAGGAAACUAGCAAGCUAGCCGUUUGCUUUGUGGGUUCUGUUCGAACUUAAUUCCU
This 350-nucleotide ribosomal RNA is filed under the name Doto coronata. Its description in RNAcentral is "partial 16S ribosomal RNA". Lineage: Eukaryota; Metazoa; Mollusca; Gastropoda; Nudibranchia; Dotidae. The record is from RNAcentral.